Molecule: RNA transcript, 974 nt
Organism: Pipistrellus kuhlii (Kuhl's pipistrelle)
Lineage: Eukaryota; Metazoa; Chordata; Mammalia; Chiroptera; Vespertilionidae
Gene name: proteasome subunit alpha type-4-like
Exons: 1
Source: RefSeq, a predicted model, not a curated record
GGUUUCCUCCUGCGGGGUGAAACCCUCCAGGUAGAACUCAACUCCAUGUCUUUUCUCGGGGCCUCUGAAGUUCAGAAAAUAAGUCUUGAAGAUCUGACUCCAGGACUGCCAUAUUUUCUCAGAAGGUCUCUGUACCACGUUGAAUAUGCCAUGGAGGCACCUGUUUGGUAAUUUUAGCAAAUGAUAGUGUUUUGCUUGCAGCAAGGCAUUGUAAUAUCCACAAGCUUUUUGAUGAAGUCUCUUCCCCUCCCCAUGCCAAACCCCCCCCCCCCAAUAAAUGUAUAAACUCAAUGAAGACAUGGCUUGCAGUGUGACAAGCAGAACUCCUGAUGCUAAUGUUCUGAGUAAUGAGCUGAGGCUCAUUGCUCAAAGGAAUGUAUUACAGGAUCAGGAGCCAGUUCCAUGUGGGCGGUUGGUUACAGCACUUUGUGAUACCAAACACGCUUAUAAACAGUUUAGAGAAAAACAUCCCUUCGGUGUUUCACUGCUGUACAUUGGCUGGGAUAAGCGUCAUGGCUUUCAGCUCUAUCAAAGCGACCCUAGCAGACAUUACGGGGGAUGGAAAGCCACAUGCAUUGGAAAUAAUAGCACCACAGCUGUGUCAGUGUUUAAACAAGACUACAAAGAAAGAGAAAUGACUCUGAGGUCAGUACUUGCUUCAGCUAUCAAAGUCCUCAAGAAGACCGUGGAUGUUACCAAACCCGCUGCUGAAAAAAGUGGAAAUUGGCCCACUCACAAGAGAGAAUGGAAAUUCACUCAUCUGAGUCCUCAAACAGAGGGAAGUGGAACUGUUGGUCAAAAAACAUGAGGAAGAAGAAGCUAAGGCCGAGCAUGAGAAGAAAGAAAAAGAACAAAGAGAAAAGGAUAAAAGAGAAGACAAAAUUGGGGAUUUUAGAAGUCUUUUUGGGCACCAUUUCCGUGUGAAAGCUAUCUUCUUCCACACUGAGAAAGCACUGGCCUUUUUAAAAACUUGA